Callithrix jacchus (white-tufted-ear marmoset) is the source of this 1836-nucleotide long non-coding RNA. RefSeq lists it as uncharacterized. NCBI's taxonomy places the organism in Eukaryota, Metazoa, Chordata, Mammalia, Primates, Cebidae. The record is from RefSeq and is a predicted model, not a curated record.
CACAGUCACCCCAGCCUUUAGCAACCGCCACCCUGAUUAGUCAGCAGCCAACCACAUUGAGGCCAGACCCUUCAACCAGCAAAGAUUGCGACUCGCUGAAGGCUCAGUAGGAUUUUCAGCUCCUAGAAGCCAGAGAUCAUGUUACUCAUUCUUUUGCAUCCUUCCCAGGGUCUAGUGGAGCACUGAGCAUCAUCCCUCAUUCUGGAGGAAGCAAGCUGGCAUGUCAUGAGUCCUGUGAAGAGGCUCAUGCAGAAAAGAGCUGAUGUCUCUGGCCAACAGCCACAUGAUUGGGCCUAUAAGUGGAGGCUUCCCCAGAUGGAGUCUCACUCUGUCACCAGACUGGAGUGGAGUGGUGCGACCUCGGCUCCCUGCAAUCUCCGCCUCCCAUGUUCAAGUGCCUCUCCUGCCUCAGCCUCUCAAAUAGCUGGGAUUACAGGGAAGGCUGGAAAUACUUCUUAACGAAUUACACAUCUAUCAAGUUUCCCCUAUUUCUCCCCAGUCUGUUUUCAGGAAAUCUCAACCCAUAUGUGUUUCUUUCCAUACCUAAUGUGAGUCCUUCAAUUCCCACCCCCCGCCAAAAGUUGGAGUGGAGAAAAAAACAUAAGGAUUAGCACAAGCAACAGGAGAAAACUAGAAAAGUGUUGGGGAAAGGUCUCAAGUGUGACAGAGAAGGCAGAAAUUCACCAGCAAAUCCAAACUGGGAAAAUCCCAGAGUUGAAGAGAAGAAAUUUAAAGAAAGAAAAUCUUACAAAAAGAAACAUGCUUGGGGAUACUCUUGUUUGCUGGUAAAAUGAUCUGUAGAAAUUCUGAGAUAAGGGGUGUUAAAAGUAAGAAAAUGCAGGCAUACUUAAUUAUCAGACUAUCAACUUUCCCCUUGUCUAACGGGAGCCAAAGAAUGGUGUUUUAAUGCCCAGCUUCUAGGUGAAAUAUGUAUUAGCAAACUGUUCUAGGCCUUUAUGUUCCUUUAUUUUUGUUUUCAAAAAUUCCUAUGACAAUAUUCUGGUAUCCCUGACACAUGAGGAUACAUUUCAUGCCAAAACCAGUUUAGAAAAUCUGCAGAUUAAAGGAGGAGUGUAUGCUGCAGCUGAGAGCAGACACUUCCAAGGCAUCUUGCAAGGGUAAGUUUAGAGUGGCGUACUCUUUGAAUAUUGUCUGAGUAUUGACAAGAUUCAAAUGGACGCUGCAAACAAUGGAGUGUUGUGAAUUGUGUACAUCUCUAGAAGUAAUUUGGUGGCAUAUAUUUAACACAAUCCGUCCAUAUUUGAGCAAACCCAAGCAAUUUACAUUUCCUGGAUGUCAGCUUGAACAGGAGCUUAGAAGGAUGGUGAUGCUUCAGUCUCAUUUGAGAUAAAAAUAAUGGAUAAUCAUGUAUUUACACAGUAAUUUAUUUCAGAAGUAUGUCAAUUAUGAAAAUAGGACUUUUAUACAUUACUGUUGAGAGCAUAAAUUGUUACUAACUUCCAUGAAGGGCAAUUUGUAUAUACAAAAGCUUAGAAAUACUCCUGAUCUUCGAAUCAUCAAUUUUCCAAUAAAAUAAAAAGAUAAAUGUUCAGGAUUAUAUAACUUAUUUAUUAUGUUAUCACUGUGCUUACAAUAAGGAAAAUCUGAAAAGAGCCUGUAGAAGCAGAAAUAGAGGAAUUUUUAAUAUGGUUUAUUCAUGCAAUAGAAUAUUUUACAGUGUCUAUAAUGAUAAAAAUUUAUAAUUAUUGACAUGGAAAUAUAUUUUUAAUUAUAAAAUAAGACUACAAAAUAAUAUUUAAAGCAUUAUCUCAUUCUGUAACAAUAUAUUAUUUGUUUGCUGGUAUAUAUGAAUAAAAUAUCUCUCAGAUAAUUGAA